Molecule: ribosomal RNA, 250 nt
Filed under: uncultured bacterium
Lineage: Bacteria
Description: partial 16S ribosomal RNA
Rfam family: Bacterial small subunit ribosomal RNA
Source: RNAcentral
UACUAGGGGUGCAACGUUGCCGUGAAUCAUUGGGCGUAAAGCGCACGUAGGCGGUUCGUAUGAUCGGAUGUGAAAGCCUCGCGUAACCGGGGAACUGCGUCCGAUACUGGAUGACUUGAGUUCGGGAGAGGGAUGCGGAAUUCCAGGUGUAGCGGUGAAAUGCGUAGAUAUCUGGAGGAACACCGGUGGCGAAGGCGGCAUCCUGGACCGGCAUUGACGCUGAGGCGCGAAAGCCAGGGGAGCAAACGGG